RNAcentral lists this ribosomal RNA (1210 nucleotides) under metagenome. Its description in RNAcentral is "SSU rRNA". It matches the Rfam family "Eukaryotic small subunit ribosomal RNA", at positions 558 to 1790 of the family's 1831-position model. The record is from RNAcentral.
AGUCUGGUGCCAGCAGCCGCGGUAAUUCCAGCUCCAAUAGCGUAUAUUAUUAUUGUUGCGGUUAAAAAGCUCGUAGUUGGAUCUCGGUUUCGGGCGAGCGGUGUACCUUGCGGUAUUUACUGUUUGCCCGGACGAUUUUGUUGGUUCGUUUAUGGUUCUCUUAACCGAGUGCCAUAAGUGGCCAGCACGUUUACUUUGAAAAAAUUGGAGAGCUCAAAGCAGGCGCUACAGCCUGAACAUUAGUGCAUGGAAUAAUGGAAUAGGAUCUCGGAUCUAUUUCGUUGGCUUUCGGAGUCGAGGUAAUGAUUAAUAGGGACAGACGGGGGCAUUCGUACUGCGACGUUAGAGGUGAAAUUCUUGGAUCGUCGCAAGACGAACUACUGCGAAGGCAUUUGCCAAGAAUGUUUUCAUUAAUCAAGAACGAAAGUUAGAGGUUCGAAGGCGAUCAGAUACCGCCCUAGUUCUAACCAUAAACGAUGUCGACCGGCGAUCCGUUAUCGUUAACUGAAUGACUUAACGGGCAGCCUCCGGGAAACCAGAGUGUUUGGAUUCCGGGGGAAGUAUGGUUGCAAAGCUGAAACUUAAAAGAAUUGACGGAAGGGCACCACCAGGAGUGGAGCCUGCGGCUUAAUUUGACACAACACGGGAAAUCUCACCAGGCCCGGACACCGGAAGGAUUGACAGAUUGAGAGCUCUUUCUUGAUUCGGUGGGUGGUGGUGCAUGGCCGUUCUUAGUUGGUGGAGCGAUUUGUCUGGUUAAUUCCGAUAACGAACGAGACUCUGGCCUACUAACUAGACGUUAGAUCCCUUUGUGGGUCUAUCGCAGCUUCUUAGAGGGACGGGCGGCGUUUAGCCGCACGAGAUUGAGCAAUAACAGGUCUGUGAUGCCCUUAGAUGUUCUGGGCUGCACGCGCGCUACACUGAAGGAAUCAGCGUGUGUUCCCUACCCGAAAGGGUUGGGAAACCCGUUGAACCCCCUUCGUGAUGGGGAUUGGGGAUUGCAAUUAUUCCCCAUGAACGAGGAAUUCCCAGUAGGCGCGAGUCAUAAGCUUGCGUCGAUUACGUCCCUGCCCUUUGUACACACCGCCCGUCGCUACUACCGAUCGAGUGAUUUAGUGAGGCCUUCGGACUGGUCUUCAGUAUGGCUUUCGGGUCGUGUUGGAGUACCGGAAAGAUGACCAAACUUGAUCACUUAGAGGAAGUAAAAGUC